UGGUCUUGACAUCCCGAAAACAUCUAAGAAAUUAGAAAGUGCUUCCAUUAGGAAGAAUUCGGUGAC
This 66-nucleotide ribosomal RNA is filed under the name uncultured bacterium. RNAcentral's name for it is "partial 16S ribosomal RNA". The record is from RNAcentral.